Molecule: ribosomal RNA, 700 nt
Filed under: Peribacillus simplex
Lineage: Bacteria; Bacillati; Bacillota; Bacilli; Caryophanales; Bacillaceae
Description: bacterial SSU rRNA
Rfam family: Bacterial small subunit ribosomal RNA
Source: RNAcentral
GUGGGCAACCUGCCUAUAAGACUGGGAUAACUUCGGGAAACCGGAGCUAAUACCGGAUACGUUCUUUUCUCGCAUGAGAGAAGAUGGAAAGACGGUUUACGCUGUCACUUAUAGAUGGGCCCGCGGCGCAUUAGCUAGUUGGUGAGGUAAUGGCUCACCAAGGCGACGAUGCGUAGCCGACCUGAGAGGGUGAUCGGCCACACUGGGACUGAGACACGGCCCAGACUCCUACGGGAGGCAGCAGUAGGGAAUCUUCCGCAAUGGACGAAAGUCUGACGGAGCAACGCCGCGUGAACGAAGAAGGCCUUCGGGUCGUAAAGUUCUGUUGUUAGGGAAGAACAAGUACCAGAGUAACUGCUGGUACCUUGACGGUACCUAACCAGAAAGCCACGGCUAACUACGUGCCAGCAGCCGCGGUAAUACGUAGGUGGCAAGCGUUGUCCGGAAUUAUUGGGCGUAAAGCGCGCGCAGGUGGUUCCUUAAGUCUGAUGUGAAAGCCCACGGCUCAACCGUGGAGGGUCAUUGGAAACUGGGGAACUUGAGUGCAGAAGAGGAAAGUGGAAUUCCAAGUGUAGCGGUGAAAUGCGUAGAGAUUUGGAGGAACACCAGUGGCGAAGGCGACUUUCUGGGCUGUAACUGACACUGAGGCGCGAAAGCGUGGGGAGCAACAGGAUUAGAUACCCUGGUAGUCCACGCCGUA